AUGUACCACCCGAGCUCGCCGGGUCUGAGCGCCGUCCGCAUCCACCUGACAACGACCGCUUGCUGGGUUUUGUCAGCC
Molecule: small RNA, 78 nt
Filed under: Xanthomonas hortorum
Lineage: Bacteria; Pseudomonadati; Pseudomonadota; Gammaproteobacteria; Lysobacterales; Lysobacteraceae
Also listed under: 4 other names
Description: sX9 sRNA
Rfam family: Xanthomonas sRNA sX9
Source: RNAcentral